RNAcentral lists this ribosomal RNA (467 nucleotides) under uncultured bacterium. Its description in RNAcentral is "partial 16S ribosomal RNA". It matches the Rfam family "Bacterial small subunit ribosomal RNA", at positions 28 to 506 of the family's 1533-position model. The record is from RNAcentral.
GACGAACGCUGGCGGCGUGCUUAACACAUGCAAGUCGAACGGAAAGGCCCUGCUUUUGUGGGGUGCUCGAGUGGCGAACGGGUGAGUAACACGUGAGUAACCUGCCCUUGACUUUGGGAUAACUUCAGGAAACUGGGGCUAAUACCGGAUAGGAGCUCCUGCUGCAUGGUGGGGGUUGGAAAGUUUCGGCGGUUGGGGAUGGACUCGCGGCUUAUCAGCUUGUUGGUGGGGUAGUGGCUUACCAAGGCUUUGACGGGUAGCCGGCCUGAGAGGGUGACCGGCCCCAUUGGGACUGGGAUACGGCCCAGACUCCUACGGGAGGCAGCAGUGGGGAAUAUUGCACAAUGGGCGGAAGCCGGAUGCAGCAACGCCGCGUGCGGGAUGACGGCCUUCGGGUUGUAAACCGCUUUCGCCGGUGACGAAGCGUGAGUGACGGUAAUGGGUAAAGAAGCACCGGCUAACUACGU